GACGAACGCUGGCGGCGUGCUUAACACAUGCAAGUCGAACGGAAAGGCCCUGCUUUUUUGGGGUGCUCGAGUGGCGAACGGGUGAGUAACACGUGAGUAACCUGCCCUUGACUUUGGUAUAACUUCAGGAAACUGGGGCUAAUACCGGAUAGGAGCUCCUGCUGCAUGGUGGGGGUUGGAAAGUUUCGGCGGUUGGGGAUGGACGCGCGGCUUAUCAGCUUGUUGGUUGGGUAGUGGCUUACCCAGGCUUUGACGGGUAGCCGGCCUGAGAGGGUGAACGGCCACAUUGGGACUGAGAUACGGACCAGACUCCUACGGGAGGCAGCGGUGGGGAAUAUUGCACAAUGGGCGGAAGCCUGAUGCAGCAACGCUGCGUGCGGGAUGACGGCCUUCGGGUUGUAAACCGCUUUCGCCUGUGACGAAGCGUGAGUGACGGUAAUGGGUAAAGAAGCACCGGCUAACUACGUG
Molecule: ribosomal RNA, 468 nt
Filed under: uncultured bacterium
Lineage: Bacteria
Description: partial 16S ribosomal RNA
Rfam family: Bacterial small subunit ribosomal RNA
Source: RNAcentral